UGAUGAACAGUUUGACUCUCUAUGAGUUA
RNAcentral lists this non-coding RNA (29 nucleotides) under Rattus norvegicus (Norway rat). Lineage: Eukaryota; Metazoa; Chordata; Mammalia; Rodentia; Muridae. The record is from RNAcentral.